RNAcentral lists this ribosomal RNA (483 nucleotides) under uncultured bacterium. RNAcentral's name for it is "partial 16S ribosomal RNA". It matches the Rfam family "Bacterial small subunit ribosomal RNA", at positions 28 to 507 of the family's 1533-position model. The record is from RNAcentral.
GACGAACGCUGGCGGCGUGCUUAACACAUGCAAGUCGAACGCUGAAGCUCAGCUUUUGUUGGGUGGAUGAGUGGCGAACGGGUGAGUAACACGUGAGCAACCUGCCCCCUUCUUUGGGAUAACGCCCGGAAACGGGUGCUAAUACUGGAUAUUCACUGGUCUUCGCAUGGGGGUUGGUGGAAAGGGUUUUUCUGGUGGGGGAUGGGCUCGCGGCCUAUCAGCUUGUUGGUGGGGUGAUGGCCUACCAAGGCUUUGACGGGUAGCCGGCCUGAGAGGGUGACCGGUCACAUUGGGACUGAGAUACGGCCCAGACUCCUACGGGAGGCAGCAGUGGGGAAUAUUGCACAAUGGGCGCAAGCCUGAUGCAGCGACGCCGCGUGAGGGAUGGAGGCCUUCGGGUUGUGAACCUCUUUCGCUCAUGGUCAAGCCGCAACAAUGGUUGUGGUGAGGGUAGUGGGUAAAGAAGCGCCGGCUAACUACGUG